AAUAGAUACCCGGGUAGUCCACGCCGUAAACGAUGAGUGCUAGGUGUUGGGGACUCCAAUCCUCAGUGCCGCAGCUAACGCAAUAAGCACUCCGCCUGGGGAGUACGGCCGCAAGGCUGAAACUCAAAGGAAUUGACGGGGGACCCGGCACAAGCGGUGGGAGCAUGUGGUUUAAUUCGAAGCAACGCGAAGAACCUUACCAGGGCUUGACAUCCCUCUGACCCCCUCUAGAGAUAGAGGUUCUCUUCGGAGCAGAGGUGACAGGUGGUGCAUGGUUGUCGUCAGCUCGUGUCGUGAGAUGUUGGGUUAAGUCCCGCAACGAGCGCAACCCUUGUCUUUAGUUGCCAGCAUUGAGUUGGGGCACUCUAAGGAGACUGCCGUCGACAAGACGGAGGAAGGUGGGGAUGACGUCAAAUCAUCAUGCCCCUUAUGUCCUGGGCUACACACGUGCUACAAUGGAUGGUACAACGGGCUGCGAACUCGCGAGAGUAAGCCAAUCCCAAAAAACCGNUUCUCAGUUCGGAUUGU
This 528-nucleotide ribosomal RNA is filed under the name uncultured bacterium. RNAcentral describes it as "bacterial SSU rRNA". It matches the Rfam family "Bacterial small subunit ribosomal RNA", at positions 777 to 1301 of the family's 1533-position model. The record is from RNAcentral.